Molecule: ribosomal RNA, 465 nt
Filed under: uncultured prokaryote
Description: partial 16S ribosomal RNA
Source: RNAcentral
CCCUAUGGGGCGCACCAUUAAAGAUCACCUCGCGUAAACAACGGCCGAGCCGUUUCUUUCUGCCAGCCCGCUUGUAGGCAGGCUGCGCUGCUUCUGCUAUUGUAUGAACUCCUGCUAUUUUUCCGUCAAGUUAGAAUACCCCUGACUGCGUUGUGAACGGGCAUAGCGAUCCCUACCCUGAUAACGCAAUAUAAUAUGAUAGCACCAGGCUGAAAAGAUGUCAAUGCAAAAUCAUAAAAUAAAAUAGGAUUUUUAAGAAAAAGGCGGAAUGUCUUGGAUUCCGCCUUUUGUCUUAUUCUGCUGACAGACCGCGGGAUUUGCAGGCGGUCUGAUUUCAAAGGUGUUCUGGGGCGCCGGACGCAUCAGGCGUCGCGGGGGCUUUCGAUCAGCCGGCUGUCGAAGAAGUCGCGAUCUUGGGCUGCCCCGACAGGAACAGCUUGAGGCCAAAGGAAUUGGCGGGGGGGC